Molecule: ribosomal RNA, 672 nt
Filed under: uncultured Bacteroidales bacterium
Lineage: Bacteria; Pseudomonadati; Bacteroidota; Bacteroidia; Bacteroidales
Description: bacterial SSU rRNA
Rfam family: Bacterial small subunit ribosomal RNA
Source: RNAcentral
AUCAUCAAAGCUUGCUUUGAUGGAUGGCGACCGGCGCACGGGUGAGUAACACGUAUCCAACCUGCCGACAACACUGGGAUAGCCUUUCGAAAGAAAGAUUAAUACCGGAUGGCAUAGUUUUUCCGCAUGGGAUAAUUAUUAAAGAAUUUCGGUUGUCGAUGGGGAUGCGUUCCAUUAGGCAGUUGGCGGGGUAACGGCCCACCAAACCAACGAUGGAUAGGGGUUCUGAGAGGAAGGUCCCCCACAUUGGAACUGAGACACGGUCCAAACUCCUACGGGAGGCAGCAGUGAGGAAUAUUGGUCAAUGGACGAGAGUCUGAACCAGCCAAGUAGCGUGAAGGAUGACUGCCCUAUGGGUUGUAAACUUCUUUUAUACGGGAAUAAAGUUAGCCACGUGUGGCUUUUUGUAUGUACCGUAUGAAUAAGGAUCGGCUAACUCCGUGCCAGCAGCCGCGGUAAUACGGAGGAUCCGAGCGUUAUCCGGAUUUAUUGGGUUUAAAGGGAGCGUAGGCGGGUUGUUAAGUCAGUUGUGAAAGUUUGCGGCUCAACCGUAAAAUUGCAGUUGAUACUGGCGACCUUGAGUGCAACAGAGGUAGGCAGAAUUCGUGGUGUAGCGGUGAAAUGCUUAGAUAUCACGAAGAACUCCGAUUGCGAAGGCAGCUUACUGGAUUG